UACAGAGGUCCCGAGCGUUGUUCGGAUUCACUGGGCGUAAAGGGUGCGUAGGCGGCCGUGCAAGUCUGGCGUGAAAGCCCCGGGCUCAGCCCGGGAAGUGCGCUCGAAACUGCGCGGCUCGAGUGCCGGAGGGGAGAGUGGAAUUCCUGGUGUAGCGGUGAAAUGCGUAGAUAUCAGGAGGAAUACCGGUGGCGAAAGCGACUCUCUGGACCUCAACUGACGCUGAGGCACGAAAUCUUGGGUAUCAAACAUC
This 253-nucleotide ribosomal RNA is filed under the name uncultured bacterium. RNAcentral's name for it is "partial 16S ribosomal RNA". It matches the Rfam family "Bacterial small subunit ribosomal RNA", at positions 524 to 776 of the family's 1533-position model. The record is from RNAcentral.